GACGAACGCUGGCGGCGUGCUUAACACAUGCAAGUCGAACGGAAAGGCCCUGCUUUUGUGGGGUGCUCGAGUGGCGAACGGGUGAGUAACACGUGAGUAACCUGCCCUUGACUUUGGGAUAACUUCAGGAAACUGGGGCUAAUACCGGAUAGGAGCUCCUGCUGCAUGGUGGGGGUUGGAAAGUUUCGGCGGUUGGGGAUGGACUCGCGGCUUAUCAGCUUGUUGGUGGGGUAGUGGCUUGCCAAGGCUUUGACGGGUAGCCGGCCUGGGAGGGUGGACGGCCACAUUGGGCCUGAGGUACGGACCAGACUCCUACGGGAGGCAGCAGUGGGGAAUCUUGCACAAUGGGCGGAAGCCUGAUGCAGCAACGCCGCGUGCGGGAUGACGGCCUUCGGGUUGUAAACCGCUUUCGCCUGUGACGAAGCGUGAGUGACGGUAAUGGGUAAAGAAGCACCGGCUAACUACGUG
This 468-nucleotide ribosomal RNA is filed under the name uncultured bacterium. Its description in RNAcentral is "partial 16S ribosomal RNA". It matches the Rfam family "Bacterial small subunit ribosomal RNA", at positions 28 to 507 of the family's 1533-position model. The record is from RNAcentral.